This 497-nucleotide ribosomal RNA is filed under the name uncultured bacterium. RNAcentral's name for it is "partial 16S ribosomal RNA". It matches the Rfam family "Bacterial small subunit ribosomal RNA", at positions 28 to 507 of the family's 1533-position model. The record is from RNAcentral.
GACGAACGCUGGCGGCGUGCCUAAUACAUGCAAGUUGAGCGCUGAAGGUUGGUACUUGUACCAACUGGAUGAGCAGCGAACGGGUGAGUAACGCGUGGGGAAUCUGCCUUUGAGCGGGGGACAACAUUUGGAAACGAAUGCUAAUACCGCAUAAAAACUUUAAACACAAGUUUUAAGUUUGAAAGAUGCAAUUGCAUCACUCAAAGAUGAUCCCGCGUUGUAUUAGCUAGUUGGUGAGGUAAAGGCUCACCAAGGCGAUGAUACAUAGCCGACCUGAGAGGGUGAGCGGCCACAUUGGGACGGAGACACGGCCCAAACUCCUACGGGAGGCAGCAGUAGGGAAUCUUCGGCAAUGGACGAAAGUCUGACCGAGCAACGCCGCGUGAGUGAAGAAGGUUUUCGGAUCGGAAAACUCUGUUGGUAGAGAAGAACGUUGGUGAGAGUGGAAAGCUCAUCAAGUGACGGUAACUACACAGAAAGGGACGGCUAACUACGUG